This 1366-nucleotide long non-coding RNA is filed under the name Mytilus galloprovincialis (Mediterranean mussel). The record is from RNAcentral. Lineage: Eukaryota; Metazoa; Mollusca; Bivalvia; Mytilida; Mytilidae.
AUUAUGGGAAGACAUUAUAUAUAUAUAUUAGUUGAUGUUAACAUUUAACUAGCUAUCAGUAACUGUGAGUUUUCUUAUAUCUAUACGUUGUGUCGUUUUGUGGGUAAUUGUUUGUGCUCGGUUAUACAUGUAUCUGAUUGUCCAAGCUCUAUUGAACAACUUUAUAUCUUUUUUCUUAUAAAAUGAUUUUACAACCCUGUCAUAUACAAGGGAAAGUGUGUUUAACCCCGCAGUGAACUGGCUGAUAAUCACUUCCAAAAUCAAUCGAAUAAUCAAUCGAUCAAUAUAUCAAUGAAUCAAAACAUGUGUAACUGUGCAGUUUGUUUUUGUCAAUUUACAGGUUAUAAUUUUCUUCAGUCACCUGCUUGAUGUAGUGGAUAUACGAACUACAAUGGCUUGAGUUAUGUAAUGGUUAAACAUGCCACAACCGCCUGCUAUAUUAAGUGAACAUACCUACUACAAUAACUCGCUUUAUGUUGUAGACUGCCCUACUACUAUCCGCUGCUUUAUGAAGUGGACAUACAAACUACAACCGCUAGCUUUUUUAGUGGAUAUACCUACUACAACUGCCACCUUUAGUUAGUUCACAUACAUACCACAACCGCCUGCUUUUUGUUGUGGAUAUAAAUACUACAACUGACUGCUUUAUGAAGUGGACAUACCUUCUACAACCUCCUGUUUAAUGUAGUUGACAUACCUGCUACAACCUCCUGAUAUCUUUAUAGUGGACAUAUGUACUAUGGCUACAAUCACCUGCUUUAUAAAGUGGACAUAUCUACUGUAAUCGCUUGCUUUAUGUAGUGGACAUACAUAUUACAUCCUCCUACUAUAAGUAGCGGAUAUAUCUAAUACAAUUAUCUGCUUUAUGUAGUAGAGAUACAGACUACAACCGCCUGCUUUGUUUAGUGAACAUAAAUACAAUGUACCACAGUUACGGGCUACAUAUAGUGGAAUAUAUACCUUUUUAUAUAGUAGAGUAAUAUAUACUAUUAGUACCUGCUUAAUGGAGUGGAAAAUAUAGAACAAUCACUAUCCAUAAAUUUACCAACCAGCAACUUGUUUUAGUAAUGAUACAAGCUUUUAUUUUUAUAUCAUACGAUAUAAAUUAUUUAAUAACUUGAUUUCGAUAUCACGAUGAAUUAUGCAAUUCCCGGAUACUGCUGAACUACUAUUUUUGACAUUUUACCUAUUAUGUCUGGGUUUUUUUGUCAAUAUAAUGGAAUUGUUUGCGACUGUCAUACAAGUGAGCGGUUUAGAUAGCUCUAAAAAUAGGUUUAAUCCACCAUUUUAUACAAAAGAAAAUAACUGUACCAAGUCAGGAAUAUAACAGUUGUAAUCCAGUUUUCUAUAAAGCGUUUUGUUUUGA